Molecule: long non-coding RNA, 159 nt
Organism: Oncorhynchus keta (chum salmon)
Lineage: Eukaryota; Metazoa; Chordata; Actinopteri; Salmoniformes; Salmonidae
Exons: 3
Source: RefSeq, a predicted model, not a curated record
CUCUCUGUUUAGGGUCAGUCACAGUGGUCAGGUAUUCUGCCACUGUGUUCUCUCUGUUUAGGGUCAGUCACAGUGGUCAGGUAUUCUGCCACUGUGUACUCUCUGUUUAGGGUCAGUCACAGUGGUCAGGUAUUCUGCCACUGUGUUCUCUCUGUUUAG